GACGAACGCUGGCGGCGUGCCUAAUACAUGCAAGUCGAGCGCAGGAAAUCAUCCGAACCUUUCGGGGGGACGUUGAUGGAAUGAGCGGCGGACGGGUGAGUAACACGUAAAGAACCUGCCCUCAGGUCUGGGAUAACCACGAGAAAUCGGGGCUAAUACCGGAUGGGUCAUCGGACCGCAUGGUCCGAGGAUGAAAGGCGCUUCGGCGUCGCCUGGGGAUGGCUUUGCGGUGCAUUAGCUAGUUGGUGGGGUAAUGGCCCACCAAGGCGACGAGGCAUAGCCGACCUGAGAGGGGGCUCGGCCACACUGGGACUGAGACACGGCCCAGACUCCUACGGGAGGCAGCAGUAGGGAAUCUUCCACAAUGGACGAAAGUCUGAUGGAGCAACGCCGCGUGAACGAUGAGGGCCUUCGGGUCGUAAAGUUCUGUUGUAAGGGAAGAACAAGUGCCGCAGGCAAUGGCGGCACCUUGACGGUACCUUGCGAGAAAGCCACGGCUAACUACGUGCCAGCCGCCGCAGUAA
RNAcentral lists this ribosomal RNA (524 nucleotides) under uncultured bacterium. RNAcentral describes it as "partial 16S ribosomal RNA". It matches the Rfam family "Bacterial small subunit ribosomal RNA", at positions 28 to 523 of the family's 1533-position model. The record is from RNAcentral.